RNAcentral lists this non-coding RNA (133 nucleotides) under Nocardioides sp. Lineage: Bacteria; Bacillati; Actinomycetota; Actinomycetes; Propionibacteriales; Nocardioidaceae. RNAcentral also lists the same sequence under 1 other name. The record is from RNAcentral.
AGGGAACCCGGUGAGAGUCCGGGACUGACGCGCAGCGGUAUGGGUGACGGGCGGGACCUCUGUCUCACGACAGGCCACUGGACGAGAGUCCGGGAAGGUGUCCCGCGCCGGGUGAUCCCGAGUCCGAAGACCU